Molecule: long non-coding RNA, 256 nt
Filed under: Mytilus galloprovincialis (Mediterranean mussel)
Lineage: Eukaryota; Metazoa; Mollusca; Bivalvia; Mytilida; Mytilidae
Source: RNAcentral
UGGGAAAUAGAUAUUUUUUAUGCCCCACCUACGAUAGUAGAGGGGCAUUAUGUUUUCUGGUCUGUGCGUCCGUUCGUCCGUCUGUCCCGCUCCAGGUUAAAGUUUUUGGUCAAGGUAGUUUUUGAUGAAGUUGAAGUCCAAUCGACUUCGAACUUAGUACACAUGUUCCCCAUGAUAUGAUCUUUCUAAUUUUAAUGCCAAAUUAGAGUUUUUACCCCAAUUUCACGGUCCACUGAACAUGGAAAAUGAUAGUGCG